UUCAGCAUUUUUAAAAUCCUUAAGUCUUGUUUUUAUUUCAAUUAUUUAUCAUUUUGAAAUGGGAAUGCAGGCACGUGGAGCUCAGAAAAAGAUCAGAGUCCAGCUCUCCGCAAGAUUACUUUUUCUUCUUAAUCCUCAGGGACCUGAUUGAAUUUUUCCCUGUUUAUUAUUAUUUUAUAUUUCUUCUUAUUAUUCUAUUUAUUUAUUUAGAUUUAUAAAUGAUACCACCAUGCUAAGGGCAAUUGUCCUCUCUGAUCAUUUCUCUCUGUGACAUUUGUGCAAACCUCAUGCCUGCCUGCUGUGUUUCAGCUCUCGGUUCUUAACUCCUUCAGACCAGAGUAUCAUUUAAUUUUUUACUCACUUGGCCAAGCAUCUUGAAACCAACUGCAUAAUAUUCCAUUUGAAAUGGAAUCAGCCUCACAUUUGCCUUACAGUCUUCGAAUUCUCUGGGGCAAGAGCUGCCUUUUGAAAUGACGCGUAGCGGGGCCGGCAUAAUUGGGCCUCAGGCCUCGAGAAUGGUCCCCGCGGCCCUGCCACAAUGCAGGGUGCACUCCUGACAGCCAAGGGGAUCACCACACUGACUGCUGGACUCUCUGACCCCUGGCAGCUUUCCUUUCCUGCUGAGGUGCAUUCUACAGCUGAACAUGGGUUCAGUGCAGGGGUGAGGGAUGACAUUUAACGGCUUAAGGAGGUCAAAAGAGAUGAUCCAGUGGUUCCUCCCCACCUUCGAUCCCUGAGUCUAUGAAUACUGAUAAGAGCAAAUUUAAAAGCACCUCUGUGGAAAGGCCUCCACAGCCACUGCUUCAGGAAUGCUGUGGGAGUUUUGCUGGAAGACUUUUUCAGGGCUUGGCAUAACUCUGCUUUCAAUGAACAGGCUCAGCCUCAGGGAGAAUACAUCUACCUGGGGUGGAGGAAAAGAUGUCGCUAGAAAAAUAUCACCUUAACUAAGCUGGAGGUGUGACAAGUCUAUUACUAAUUCCAAAGUGGUGACACAAAUAAAUGAAUCAAAUACCCUAAGCACAAUUUUUAGGAGCAAACAACCAGGAAUACUGAACAGCAUGGAUGAAUUUUGAAUUAUUGACUGACUAGCUGUUGACCCACCCACUGGUUUUGGAGUUGCUUAUUUCUACUGGUUCUGGGUUAACAUUGUAACAAAAUAAUCUGCAGCUAAAAGGAAAAAAAAACCAAACCAAACAAUCAGGACAUUUUGUGCAGUUGUGGUUCAGGCAAGACAAGGAGUAGGAAUCCUAGACUGCGCAGCUAUGGAAAGCAUGCUAAGUAAGGCAGGGAAUAUGCAAUAUCCCCAGGCACCCACCAGCAGGUCUUUGAGGCACAGCUGAACCUCACCUUGUUCAAGCCCAGAAGGAGAUUCUCUGUGGAGAGGUGUGAGUCAGUAUAUGUCUGGCUUUUAACUUUAUGCCCUUGCUAUAUCUUUGCAGUCCACUGCCAGAAGCAGUGAAUUACUUAUGGACAUGGAAAAGAGGAGCUGCCUUUUUCAAUCACCCUUCUUUCUUAAGCAGAAGACAUCUGCAGCAAUUGGCAACAAAAGCAAAAAAUAAACUUUGAGCAACCUCACCCCAUCACCACAUCCCUUCCUGAACAUGUAUUGUUUAGCAAGAAGAUAAUAUUUCUAGUAAUGAAACAACAAAGAAAAUAGUGUUCAGUGCUCUGUAAAAGGAAUGCAUACGGACACACAUGCACAAGAAACUUGGAAUAAAAUUCUCUGAAAAAGCACUUCUUCCUGUGCUUCGCAGUGAUGGAGGGACAAAUCAUUACUUUUAAGAAAUCGUUUUAUAAUGCAAAAACACUGGAAGGUGUACUUUUGACUUGACAGCAUAAAUUAUGUUCAGGUUCUGCUUGAGUCAAAGAUGCAAAAGGGAGGCCUAGAAAUGUGAAACUGGUCUGUUUUGGCUUUGACUCAACUCCCAGAAUGACCCAGCAAGAAUUCUUCUUCAUUUAGCAUGUUUGCUUUAUUUUGGCACAGAGACAUCUCUAGUUCUCUGGCACAAUUUAAUUAAAAAUUGUUGGAGCUUCACCUGCGCAUUUCUGCAAGGUCUGACUUGUUUCUCCUGUUGCUGCAUGACACUUUCCUGACUUCUGCCUGUGCUGGUGUUGCCAUUUCUCUGGGGAGCCCUCAAAGACAUGAGUCUGGAUGACCUCAAGCUGCCCCAGGAAACUGUAAGCCUGCAGGACGCCCUUGAUGCAAGGCAGCUCUCCUGUCAUGGUUCAACCACAGCCAACAGCUAAGGACCAUGAAACCUCUCACUCCUUCCCCAACCCUCCGAUGGGAAGCAGGGGAGAGUAGGAAAAAAAAAGGUAAAAUUCAUGGGUUGAGAUAGAGCAAUUUAAUAAUUGAAAUACAAUAAUAAUAAUAAUAAUAAAUAAUAAUAAAUAAAUGCAAGAAAAUAAAAUUAGAAGAAUAAACCCUAAGAAAACCAAGUGGUGCACAAUUCAACUGCUCAUCACUCACUGACAGAUGUCCAUCCCAUCCCUGAGCAGCAACCAGUAGAACCCAGCCAACUCCCUCCAGUUUAUGUGUUGAACAUGAUAUUCCAUUUUAUGAAAUAUCCUUUUGACAAGUUUGGCUCUCCUGGCCAUGCUCCCUCCCAGCUUCUUGUACACCUGCUUGAUGUCAGAGCACAGGAAACUGAGUAGACCUUUUCUUAGGCUAAGAACACCUGAGCAAACCACCAGUGUCUUAUCAACAUGGUUCUCCUACUAAAUCCAAACCACAGUAAUGUACCAGCUACUAGGAAGGAAAUUAACUUUAUCACAGCCAGAACAAGGGCAGCUCCAGACAUCUCAGAAGUGCUGGCAAGACUGAAUUUUGUUGCAAAAGAGCAUCAGUAGAGCCACAGAAAGGUCCUGGAGAGUCGCUCUUUCCACUCUGCUGGGCCAGGGGUUUCAGGGGAGCAAAGGGUGGGUGACAACAAUUGCAGGGAAAACCUCAGAUCUUUGCUCUGCUGUUGAAAGCCAUGGCCCUGCAUGUCCCAAUUCCUCCAGCAACAGCCACCAGGCUGGCUCUCCAGGGCACUCACACUGACAAAGGCACUGCAGGAGCCUGAACUCACUCUGGUUUCACCAGCAGUCUGUUGCCAUAGGCAACUGCCUAUUUUGCCUAUACCUAGAGCUGGCCGUGAGCAGUCUGCACAGCAGGAUUGCUGUGAUGAGAUUAGCACACUUUAUUAUACUAUCCCUGCUCUUAUCACCAACCCCAGCUCUGACAAAUUCAAGAUAAGGAAAUUUCUCUCAUGUACUUACCAUGGUCUUGAACAGGACUUUAGAGAGAAGCAGUGAAUGCCACAAUAUUCACAUUUACAUGGGAAAAUUUAGGGAGUCAUUGCUAUUCUUGUUUUCAGGUCCUCUGAACCCUUUAAUGUCCCAGUUCUGGUCUGGUUGCUUAUCAGUUAUCCCAGCUUGAGUAGCUUGAGGGUGUCCUCUGCGCACUAAGAUAAUGUCAAUAUGGGACCAAGGCAUCCUAAUCCCUUCAACAGUAGCCCAUAAUAUUUUCCAUGCCAAACUACCCAGGAAUAGCUUGCUUUUCAGGCUGGCUUUAACCUGUGUACCACUUCACUUUUGGCAGCUGGGAUAGAGAGCUACAUCAGGUCUCUUCGGAGGAUGCUUCUGCCAAACUGCAGGGGACAGCAGACGAGAGCAGACGAAACCAGCGUGAUUCCUCCAUGCGAUGAGCUGCCUGAUGGGAAAAGCCAGUAGGACAGUGUGGAAGCUCUGGCAUCUCUCUAGCAGUGCCUUGCAGACAGCCUCUGGCCAGGUGGCAGGGCAUUCUUGUGUUGGCUUGUACUAUGCAGGCGUUUUUCUCGCUGUGUGCACAGACAAGCAAAGCUAGAGCUACUGCAAGCUCUGUGCUAGCAAGGAUGCCAAGGAACACCAUGUGGAGGCGGGUGAAUUCUGGAUGAGCAAGUGGGUAAACAGAAAGGCUGAAGUGCCAGGGGUAGCCUAGGGGCAUUCCCUUAGGGAACAAACAGCAACUGAGACAGAAAGUAAGGCCUCACUACAGCAACUAGCUUUUGGAAUUGUUCUUGGGUAUCAGACAGACUUUUAACAAAAAGUCCUGGUUUACCAGGUGAUGCAUGUGCUGGCAGUUGCUGUAUUUUAAGUCUACAAUUUUGAUUCUGAAAUGACAGUCCGUGGAUUUACCUAUUUCCUUGUAUCACCUGGGAUCACUUUUAUGAUGCAGACUUUAUUUUCAGUGGCACUGAGUGCAAGCCAGCAACCUUGACAAAACCACAGUUUCUCAUCACUGUUAAUGCUCAGGACUUGGGUCUUGGUCCCCAUGAUACUAUUAAGAAAACUUCUAUUGUCUUUCACAUGAGUAAGCUUUUAACUAAUUCAACUUGUAUCCAGUCUUUAUUUACAUCUGAACAACCACUCUGACCAGAAGGGACUGUGACAGUGGGAGCAAAAUGUGACCUCUGAUGUGUUCUGUUUUAGCAGUGAUUCUCACAGCUCUCAGCCUCUCUCUCCUCACACGGAGUUACUGUACUUUUAACCUUUCUCACUAAAGUCUGUUCAGAGUAACGAGAAAAUGGAUGUGACUAUAUCAGAAAGUCCUGAUAUUUCUGUCAUGAAAUAUUUAACAAGUACUGAUGUUGAAAAGGCUGGUUGUCAGGAGGAUGUGCACCUCCUAAAUAACAGGGGCAAAAUAACAUAAUUGCAGUGCACUGCUUUCCAUGGACAGAAAUCUCAGUUAAAUUCCUCCCAUCUUUCUCUUCAUAGGGUCACAAAGGUCAAGAAUUGCUUACAAAAAAUAAGAGAGUGUCCAGCAGCCAAGAUGCAUCCUGACUCCAUCUCACAUAUCUUGUGAUACCAGCCACGUAUCUUGUUCUCCUCUCCUACUCCUUUCUCCUCUUGUCUUCCUUUCUAGAAGGCCAGAUGUGUAGAUGUAGGGCAGGCAGCCUCACUGUCAGCAAGGAAGGAGUUGUAGGAGACCAAAGAAAACUUCUCCAGUUUUGGUGGAAGCAAGGAACGGGAUAUGAAAUGAGAAAUGUCAGAUACCACCAUAAGAAGAAAUACUGCCCAUUUUUUUUCUUCUCAGUGAUGAUAUAUACAUGCAGACACCAGCCUAGGAGUUGAGGGGGAACGCUAAUGAAUCUCUCUGAGUUGUGUCUAUGGCGCUGAUUACCACUGUUCCCUCAGAAGUCUCCAAUAUUUAUGAUUUGGAGAUGUUUUCAGCAGGCAAUGAAAUAUUAGACGCUAUUAAAAAAAUGUACCACAUAAUUGCAGAAGAUGGCAUGUUCCCGUUCCAAUUAGAAGUGGAUAACUGUAAUACCUGAAGGAGCCUUGUGCAUCAUUUGUAGGUGACUUUGAAUCCUGAAGAUAAUGAAAUAGGAGCUAUUAUAAAGGAUACAAUUAUUAUUUUGACAACAUCUUCUUUGACAGCUUCAUGAAUGAACUUUACUGAAUAAAUGAUGAUUCAUUAUCCAUCAAAUAGUAUUUUCCCACUUAUCCAACUUCCUCUGCCUUCAAUAUCUGAGAGCCUUCCAAGUAUUUUAUAAAAGUAACAACCUUUCUUCUUGCUUUUAGAGCUACAGUCAGUUCAUCAUUACAAAUGUCUGAAAAAAAGAGCCAUGCUGCACAUUGAGGUCCUCCUACAGCCAGGAGCAUGCUGAAAGGAUAUCAUGAGCUGUUGUAAAUCUACUUGAAAAUCAAAAUCUGAGCAAGACAAUCAAGAAGCUGGCCAAGAAAAAUCAUUGUGUAACAUGGAAAAAAAUAGUCUCCUUCUCAGGAGGAAAAUUUUGAAGAUGAUGGAGUCUCCACCUGAAGCUACAGUGUUCUCACCAUUGCAUUAGCCAUAAUACAAGAAAUGAGAGAGCACAAAGUACAUAAGUCCUUCCAGGACUUGCAACAUUAAUACAAUUAUAAAAAAAAUAUUAUAUAGAAAUAUUACAUAAAGAAAUUUAAAAUAUGCUUAAAUGAAUGAUUUAAAGAAGUAAUUUUUACAGUUUAUUCACUGUCUUGGACUACUGGACUUUCAAUGAAAUGGGUAAAAGCACUUGUAUUUUAAUGUGGACAUCAUUCCUCAGGUAGAUUAAAAGUCUUAACAUCUCCAAACAGUAGAACCAAAUCCAGGUGUGGAAGUGAGGAAGUGGAAAAUUAUGUAUUUAACUUCUUUAAAUUUUGUGAAACUGUUAAUCCAGACUAGUUGAAGCUAAACAUAUAGUCUAGGCUGAGACUACAAGUGCUCCUUAUCUCCUCAAUGGUCUUCAGGCACAAUACCUAUUAUGUAGUGACUAUAAUCCAUUUUCUUCUUGACACAUGGAAGGAUGUGUAAUGAUAGGGAAGAUCAUUAAAAGUUUCUUCAUAAGUUUCAUUUUUGUCGCUUGCACAUUUGGACAUGUAACCAUUUCUGCCAUCAAGGAGACUAAAGUAUGUGAACAGAAGAAUAAGCCCAUAGAGACAGACCAAGGAGUCAUUUACUUCUGUAAUAAACAUCAGUGGACAAAGCCAGGAUGCCUAGAAAGAAAACAAAAACAAGACAAGGCUGUGUGUUUGACACGUGUUCCUCCAGCUUCUGGCUGUUUGCAGAUGUUCUAAACCAGAUGCAAUUUCUAAGCAGCAGCACUCUUGAAUGGAUUUCUCUUCCAUGGGUUUGUUCAGUGCUCCUUUACAGCUGUGUAAGCUUCAGUCACCUGAAACAUCUUACAGCAUGGAGAUCCACAGCCCAACCACAUCUUUUAUCACAGCUGAACCAACCUCCUGCUUGCUUCAUUUGUCCCACCUUCCUUCUCCAAAAGACAGUCAAUCCACACUCCUGUCUCCCUGAAAGGGACCACCAACAUGUUCCCUGACUAUUUUCUUUCUGGACUGAAGUGAUUCUUCAUCCUGAAACCUUAUCACACC
Passer domesticus (house sparrow) is the source of this 6861-nucleotide long non-coding RNA. RefSeq lists it as uncharacterized. The record is from RefSeq and is a predicted model, not a curated record. Lineage: Eukaryota; Metazoa; Chordata; Aves; Passeriformes; Passeridae. The transcript is spliced from 5 exons.